This 245-nucleotide ribosomal RNA is filed under the name uncultured bacterium. Its description in RNAcentral is "partial 16S ribosomal RNA". It matches the Rfam family "Bacterial small subunit ribosomal RNA", at positions 524 to 768 of the family's 1533-position model. The record is from RNAcentral.
UACGAAGGGGGCUAGCGUUGUUCGGAAUUACUGGGCGUAAAGCGCGCGCAGGUGGCCAUCCAAGUCAGGGGUGAAAGCCCGGAGCUCAACUCCGGAAUUGCCUUUGAAACUGUUUGGCUUGAGUACGGGAGAGGUGAGUGGAAUUCCCAGUGUAGAGGUGAAAUUCGUAGAUAUUGGGAAGAACACCGGUGGCGAAGGCGGCUCACUGGCCCGUUACUGACACUCAUGCGCGACAGCGUGGGGAU